GUUACGUCUGUAUAGAAAAAAUUCCAUGUAUUGUACGAAAGUUUUUAAUUAAUAUCUCGGAAACUAAUAGGAAGCUUAAGAUACCACUUUAUAUUUGGGGUCCCCUCCUCCCUCCCCCUGCCCCUCAAAAUUUCAUCAAGAUCGGCGACCGGUCGUAUUCGGAACUACAUCCAAUUCGUCUAAUGAACGAAGUUAAUGCCUAUAAAGAGAUGGGCGUUCACUUUUUGCGGAAUAACUGAAAUAUCUUUAUUUACAUGUGCUUUGUACGUAUUUGAUUUUUUUAACCUAACAGUAAGUUAAAGUACCGUUUAGACUAGACAAAUGUCUUGAAAAGGGAGAAGGACGAGUAUACCAAUAGUCUACCAGAAAGGCUUUUUUCUCGUUCUCGCCUUUGGGUCUGGGCCUAUUCCUUCUUCCAAGUUACUUACCUAAUCUGAACGAUAUUUAAGUAGCCUCUAGGGUUGCUAGAAAUAAUAGCCAUGUGACAUCAUAUAGAGCUAUACAGGGUGGAUCUCAUAACUUGCUCACCUUAAAUAAAUUAUGCGUUUUAUGAAUAAUUGUAAAAUACAAAAGUUGCAUGGAUUAAGAUAAGUCGACCGGAGUCAUCAGAGAUCUAGUUUGACUGCAAUGCUCAUAAAUAGAAGAGUUCUUAUCUUACGUUCAACUUAAAAUAUCUCGUUGAGGAUUAGGUUUAGGACCAAGAUAGGCUUAUAAUUGUUUACUUGCAAUUUAAUAUUCUUUCGAUAUGAGAUGAAAGAAAUGUAUAAUCCCAUUUAAAAAAAAGAAAGUUGACCUUGAAAGUUUGGAAAUCUCUCCACGUACAAGACAAAUUCAUACACCAUCAUUUGCCCUCCUUGCAAUCAUGCAACAUUUGUAUUUCAUAAUUUUUUAUAAAAUACAUAAUUUAGAAAUUAUUUAAAAUGUGCAAAUUAUGUGACUCACCUUGUGUAUACUAACACGAAUUGCGCACACCAUACGAGGAUUAGUAGAGUGGCGUAGUAGUAAGUAGUGGAGGGGGAAUAGGGUACGGAACAGCCUGAAGCCGCCUGAAGGCACCAGUUUAUUCAAUGCAUUCGUGGUGUUUGGUUGCAUUUCUGAGUUUGUGUUCUUUUUCGUUUUAUUUUUUUGAAUUGUUUUUAUCUCGUCUUUUUCACUACUUUUUUUUACUUUUAUAUUUCUUUGUUCGUAACAAUGCAAUCCAUAAAGUGGAAUUUAUCAAAUCUGCCAAAUUCAAAGGAAGCCGCAAUUGUUUGGGCUCGUGAACGUAGUCUUCUACGACAGAAUAAAAAUUGUUCUACUCAUCGAAAACCGAUGAAAUUAUAUCAAACACCCCAGCACGGGAUUGGUCGAUUUCGGUGUUUGGUUGGUCGCGGUAGAUGCAAAGAUUUUGCUGCAACUGUUGAUUCUUUUUUUGAGGAUAUACAUUUGCCGUUAGAUAAAGCAAUAAAGUUAAUAUAUUGCUUCACACGCGAUUUCUCUUAUGAGAAUACCGCUCAUGAGUUAUGCGAUUUUACAUCAGAACAGCCUGUAGUAAUAUCAUCCGCAACGAUCGCUGCGUGGUAUCCGUACUGCCGCGAGCUGAUAAUAGAUCAAUUUUCCCAAAUUCAAUUGGGGAAGUCGAAAUUAGGAGGAAUUUCUGAAUCGGGAUCGCCGAUUGUUGUUCAGAUUGACGAAGCACAAUUCGGUCCAAGAAAAUAUAAUCGUAGCAAAAACGUUGAGGGCCAUUGGGUAUUGGGCAUACUUGAUACCGUAACGAACGAUUGCCGGAUGAUAAUACUAAAAAAUUGGGAAGCAUUGAUACCCUUAAUUAAAGAACAUGUUGCUUCCGGGAGUGAAAUACACACCAACUGUUUGGGAGAAUAUGCCAGGCUUAGCGAGGAAGGGUUUGUGCAUAAAACUGUGAACCACAGUACCGAAUUUGUAGUGAUGGUACACGUAUCCGAAGAAGAGAGUCCACUUGGCGGCCGGCAAAGGACUGGAUGAGAGGGAGAGGUUCCUUUUUUGAUAAAGACUUUGCCGACCGUCUAUGCGAGUUCUUAUGGCGUCGGUUUUGUCGGCGUAAUCGAAUAGAUAUGAUGGAAUCUUUAAUGGAGGCAAUUAGAAAUCGGUACAUAUUUAAAUAAGGUAAGCGGAAAUUGAUAGCAUUUUGGUGCUCAUCUUUGCAGACCAAUCAGAUUAUAGACAGAAAUCAAUAUGGCGUCAAACUAACCUUAAAAGUACGCCUAAAACGUUCAGUUUUACAUGCACAUAAUCUUUGAAUGGAUUUUUAAAGUUAAAAAGAAUCAUAUUUUUGACUUUUUCUCAGAGUAUAUAUAUAAAAAGUUAAUAAUUUUGUGUCUUCCAAAGUAAAAUUCAAUCGACAAAAUUACUCAGUUAUCCGUGAGCAGAGCCGUCAUAAAAGCAUUAUAGACCUUGGGCAAAACAAUCCACUGGGAUCCCUGUCCAUCUACGGGAAUAAAAAUCACAAAUGUUUGCGAAAUUUCAUUGCAUGUGAUCCUGAAUUUGUUUAUUUGGCUCUAAUCACAGGGUCCCCGGCGAAUGCUCAUACCUUGUGACGGCACUGCCGAUCUUUUGACCAUUGUGUGUAAAAGUCGGUAAUAAAAAAAAUGACUGUUUCAUGCGUUAGGAUAUCUCGCAGUACUCAAGCAUCUGGAUGAUUUUGUCUACCAGUUGGCACUUCUAUUUUAUAGAUUAUACUUCUCCAUUACAUGCCCAUUCCCCUCACACAGAUAAUAGUUCACCUACUUCGGGCCCAGAAGGACAGAUAGAAUGAGGGAACCAGUCAAGAGGUUAGAGUCAGAUUUAGACAGCGCUACAUUUAAGCCUAGUAUACACUUGGACACAAUGUUUUAGGAUGACGUAUCGAAAUCAUUUCGGAAAUUUUAUAAUCAGAAUAGUAUAGAAAGACAGACAUCUGCAGAGAGGAGAAGACGAUUAGGGGGACACCACUAUGGCUGAAGGUUGACUUCAUAGUAUGUUGGUGCCUGGCAUAACAGAUACAAAGCAAAGUUGUAUUAAAUUUCAUGUAUGUAUUUUCAAAUUUGAAAGGUUUUACGACUUCUUCAGGAUUGUCGCUUUUCUGGUAUAGAUAAAUCUUCCCAAAUUGCUUUGAACGUGCUAGACAUACAAAUUAGCAUAACUGUAGGUUUCUUCUAGGAAUAUUUACGGUCAAUGAAAUAAUAAACAGUGCAAAUGACUACAGAAAUGUCUCCUGCCUUCAAGUUUCAAAAUAUUGUAUCCAAGUGUUUCCUAGACUUUAGUUGACGAAACUAUACGAAAAGAGUGGACCAGUUCACUCUGAAUAGCGAUUAGAAUUGAAUAUCAUCGACACGAAAGAAACUACAGAUAAUAUAAAGACUUAAGAAAAAUGUACAAAAUUGCGAACAAUAUUUUCAAACGAAAAUGCGAUGGUUAAAGGAGCGAAACUUUUGAAUAAAGGGUCGAAGAUACACGUUUUUGUCAUAUCGUUCUCAUGAAAUUACCGAGGCAACCGUUCUUUGAUGUACAUUGAAAUAAAAAAGAAAAAAUGAAGGAAAGUGUAAUCUGUAAAAUUAAAUCUACGCCUGGAAUACUGUCGCGAAAGUGUUCGAACAAUCAUAACCUAGAACUUUAAUGAGUUCCAUAUGUAAAUACAAAUAGAGAAUUUUGAAACAUUAUUACAAUUAUAGUACUGUGACGAUUAUUAAAAUCGUACUAGAAAAAUUUAAGAAAAAAUUGAGGGUGUACAAAAUUCAUCUUCGAGUAAAAAUUUUAAUUUAAAAUCAAUUUAAUUAUAUAAUUAUAUUUUUUAAGGAUGUAAUUGUGAGUAAGAUGUAAAAUUUUUAUUUUUGAACACAUUAUAAGAAAUUUUAAAUUGAUUUAUCAGUUGUAUCAAUUAAUUCAGUGCUGUUUUUUUAUUUUAAUUGGAAAUUUAUUUUCAAAAAGUCAUGGUAGCUUCAGUUAUUCAAAUAAUUAUUAUCAUAUUCUCACGCCACUUUUCAAAUUCACAGAAGUGCGAGAAAAUAUUCAGUUCUUUUUGGUCAAUAGAAAAUGUCUCUUAAAAGAAUUUUUAGAAAUAUUGUGUGUCCGUCAUGUUUUUUGUCUUUUUUUUUUUUGUAGAAAAAACUCAUUAUACUUCAUACACUUUCGCGACGCACGGUGCAGGAGCGUGUGUUAACUUGUACCCACUGUCUUUGUAAAGUUUGUGAUCACUCAUCACCCUGAAUGUUAGGCAACCGAUUGUACAGUACGCACACGCAUCCGCUACAAUCAUUUGAGAAACACGUAGGAUCACAAUGUACAUAAAACGUAUGUAACUGAUAAGGAUAUUUUUUGUACGUAGUUAAAUUUCAAAGAAACUGCUCUUUGUCGUAUAUAUACAGGGUGUUCACGCUAACGUUAGAGACUAUUUUUCAAUUAUUGCAACAUUGUAAUAAAAAAAGUUAUCAUCUAAAAGUUAUCUGUAUUGAGUAGACAAUCGUUGUUCUUAAUAAAUCCAAAAUCAUCUUUGGUUUUUUUUUCUAUCAUAAAUGGCAUGUAUUGAAUGAAAAUGGAUAAGUAUUACCAUUUUGUAACUUAAUAGUAGCCGAUGAUUAAACGGAGCAAUUAAACAUAAUAGUUAUGAGUUAUACAUUAAAAUUGAUUACAUAAUUGUCAUAACUUUUAGAUUUUGUACACUUGUGAUCAAAUCAGGCUAGAGAAAGCAGGAAUUCUGAAGAUCUCAAUUUUGACGAUAUUAAUAUUAAAAAUAAUUUAGAAACAAAGUAAUAUAAUUUAUAAUGAUUAGAUAUUAUAAAAUGUUAUAUAUUUAGUGUAUAACUGAGAAAUAUGUAUAAUAAAUAAAUAUCAAUUCAAAUUUUCCCGUGCGAAAAUGAUACGCAAGUGAUACGAGCAGACUCUUAGGCUCGAUCUACAAUAGAUAGAGUAAGGAGUAGAAGUAGAAGUAACGAUUUCGGCGUGAAGACGCUGGCUCCGUCUACAAUACGAUAGAGUAGAAAGAAUUAAGGGCCAAUCAGAACGCAAGAGGAAUCUGGCAUAUUUGCCGUAAUUUUCCUCCUGCGCUCUAAUUGGUCGAACGUAAGAAAAGCAGGAGUAAGAGUAAGACGAAAUGGAAAUUUAUUUCGCUUACGCCCUUACUCUAACUCCUUACGCCGCUCUUCAGGCUUACUCUACGUAAUGUAGACAGAUCAACUUCUUAUUGUAGAUCGGGCCUUACUAUAUGUAUGUAUAUGUAUGUGUAUAGGAAAGGGGAGAACCCGGAAUAUCAUUUUACGUACUAGGAAAGCCUGAUUUGAUCGCGGAUGUUCAUCAAAACUGUAUUAUUAUACAUAAACCAUUCAGUAUUGAAUAAUAAAUACAUUAUAACUCGAUAGUGAUGAAAGACUAAUUUUGUUAGCGGCUGAUGGCAUAAAAAAAUCUAUUAAGUCAUAAGCUUCCAGUAAGUAAACUGUUAAAUGUUCUAUAAAAUGUUCUCAGUUUAAUUUUUAAUUAUUAAAAAUUAUAAAACCUCAAAAUUAAAUAUUCUGUAUAACUAUAGGUUUUUCCAGGAAAACAAGGUAUUUUUAAAAUGUUGUCCGCUUAGUACAUAUGAAUUUGGAUUAAUAAUUGUUUGUUUAUUACAUUGCUACAAAUAGCUGAAAAAUUGUACUUAGGGUAUUGUAAACACCUUGUAUAUACAUAUAUAAAUGUGUAUGUAUAUGUAUAUCUGACUAUAAUUCGUUCCACGGUGACCUUCAUUAUAUCUAUCUAACCGUGCAUAAACUGUGCCGAAAAUUGAACGAUCUGAUCUCCAGAAUCGAUCAUGUUUUUUCUUAAAAUUUUCGAAAACCACGAAAUUCGAAAUCGUGUCAUAUCUUCGCAUGUUCUCUGGAACACAUUCACCGAGUACGAAUGUCUCUUUCUUUCUUUUUCCCCGUUUUGCUCUGUAAACACUAAAUUCUUGUGAAUUAAUCGUUGACUAAUUGUUAAUUACUAUUGUAAUUGGAGCACUGUGAUAGUGAGUUAAUACGUUCGCUACCAACGUGACACAUCGUCAUGGAUCAAGAUUAUGUUAUGUGGUGAUCAUAACUUUUAUUUCAUAUACUUUAAAAUAAACGAAAAUCAAUGCUUCAACCCUUCUUCGAAUUAUGGAAGCCGUAGCGCUCCCUCAAAUCUUUAAACUAACAAUAAGCGUGGUUUAAUACGCGUGGAUAUAAUUAUUAGAAAAUUUAUUGUCAAAGCGCCAGUACCUUUCCGACGUCACAUGGCCGAUCGUGAGAGUAAUCAAGCGUCUCUGGAUCACGUGACAAGUUGGAAACACGAUCAGGCGGUUAGCUUAAACAUAUCUCAGAAUUCAGCAUCUAUUGAGCAUAACUUUAUAAUCUUAUCAAGUUGUUUAAUAUUGCAUAGCAAAUUCAUUUGUAUUUACUAAUUUGAUAACAUGGUACUUAAAUAAAAUAAUAACCGCAGAAAACCGUUUAUUCGAAUAAGGGUUAAAAUAGAUAAAAAUUAAAGUCUGUUAAAGCACCUACAAAGUAGUAUAAUAAUAUAAACUAAAUACAUGAUCUGAAGUUGUAUUACCUUAUUUUAUAUGAUUUUUAACAAAUGAAUUCAAUAGUUACAUAAGCAAGUACAUAGAUCUAUGCUUGGUUUGUAAUGGAUGAAUUUUUGGCUGACUGAUGGUAGCUAACGUGUUAAUUGCUGUAUUAGUAAAUUAGUCACCACGCCAAAACUAUAACUGAUAAACAAAAUUACAAGUGUAAUAAAUAAUUUUUCUCAACAAAAUUGAUUAUUAUGUUAUAAAAAUAGUUGACGCGAUAUGUUACCUCAUUUUAAUGUGCUAUUUAAAAAAUUAUACUCAAAUUAUGGCACUUAGUGUGUUAAAGAAUUUCCAAUAAAUUUAUUGAACAUGUGUUUAAAUUCUUGUUUAAGAAAUUUAAUGAAAUGUCUACUUAUUCUUCAAUUAUAUCGGCAGCCCUUGAUUCCACUAUCGCAUAUAAAGCAUUAAAUAAGGAAAAUACAUUUUCUUAGCAUGAAUUGAUUUAUAGCAAAGUAAACUAUAAUCGAAAUCGGAAUUGGGAAUGAGAAAGAAAGGGGAAGAAUUUAAAAUCUGAAAACUUCAAUGUAAUUAAAUAAAAUUGCAUAAGAAGUAACAAGACUCUUCGACGAUCCAAAUUGCUGAAAUCGACAUAGUAAUUAACAGAAUGUCUAGGAUACUGUACGUUUAACUAUAAGCUACGCGCCACGAUGUGUAAGUAUAGUAACAAUAUAGAUUUUGUAUACUGCGUGCGUGAGAGUGUAGAGAAACGAGCAUGGCAAAAGACAAUGCGUGCGUUACAGAAUUUACGUUCGACAGGUUAAUAAAUCGUAUUUUC
Molecule: RNA transcript, 7331 nt
Organism: Osmia bicornis bicornis
Lineage: Eukaryota; Metazoa; Arthropoda; Insecta; Hymenoptera; Megachilidae
Exons: 5
Source: RefSeq, a predicted model, not a curated record